Molecule: ribosomal RNA, 232 nt
Filed under: uncultured bacterium
Lineage: Bacteria
Description: partial 16S ribosomal RNA
Rfam family: Bacterial small subunit ribosomal RNA
Source: RNAcentral
GAUCCUGGCUCAGGAUGAACGCUAGCUACAGGCUUAACACAUGCAAGUCGAGGGGCAGCAUGGUCUUAGCUUGCUAAGGCCGAUGGCGACCGGCGCACGGGUGAGUAACACGUAUCCAACCUGCCGUCUACUCUUGGACAGCCUUCUGAAAGGAAGAUUAAUACAAGAUGGCAUCAUGAGUCCGCAUGUUCACAUGAUUAAAAGGUAUUCCGGUAGACGAUGGGGAUACGUU